Molecule: long non-coding RNA, 1327 nt
Filed under: Neogobius melanostomus (round goby)
Lineage: Eukaryota; Metazoa; Chordata; Actinopteri; Gobiiformes; Gobiidae
Description: lncRNA (ENSNMLG00000014626.1)
Source: RNAcentral
CAAAUGGAAGAGGAUGUUCCUACUACAACUGUAAUAGCCGUCGGACCCUCGAAAAGAAGACUGGCCACGCUAAAUAAGUCUUCAUUAAGUGCAACUCCGACAAACGAAACAGACGCUACCAAUGACGCACCCCAACAGUGCCCUACCAAAACUAAAGUUCUUCCCCCGCGUAAGGGCCGGGGGCAAAAAUAUGAAGCCUUGGUGCAAAAAAUGACAUCCCCUGCCUCAAAAAAACACCCAAUUCUUCAAGCAGAAGACAGUUUAGCAGAUGAGUUGGCAUCUAAGGCUUUCUCUCAGAGUUCAGUUAAGGGGAGUGAAACGGUCCCCAACACUACAGAGAUUAUGGAGGAAGCGAACAGCACAGACAUCAAAGUAGAUGAGGUUAAAGAACAGGAAAUCCCAGUGCAAGCAGAAGAGGACCCUAAACCUCAAAUAAGAGAGGAGGAAAAGGAAGGAGAAAAGUGCGAUAAUAAAGAAGUUGAACAAAAAGAACAAAAAGAAGAGUCAAGCUCACAAUCAAAUCCAACUAAAGUGGAAAUGAGUGCAGAGGUGACACAAGGAGCAGUGUGUGCCACUGUAGAUACUCCAAAGCCUGUGAAAGCUAAGAAGAAGAGGUGGGCAAUCGUGGAGAGCACAGAAGCAGCUUUAGACACAGACAGUCUUAUAGUCACAACACCGAGGCUGGCAAAGCAGAGAGCGAUUAAAAACAACCAUGAGAUGCAUCUUAAACAGAGAAGGAAGAAAAGAAAGGACACAGAAGCAGUUAGUGAGGAUAAUGCUGAGGCUAAUGCUGAGGCUAACACGGAGGCUCAUGUGGAAACAGCAGAGCUACAACAGAAGACUGAGGCGAAGGAAUCGGAUCUUGCAACACCCGUGCCUAUAAGCACAAAGGAGGUCACUGAAGCUGUGCCGCUGAGCAGGACAGAGCUCACAGAGAAACCCAGGAGAGGAAGAAAACCAUCAGUGAAUCAGACCAACAGAAAGAGAGGGAGAGCGUCAUUAGAAAACACUACAGAAAAGCCAAUAAAGCUCCAUAAAAAACCUGGACCAAAACCGGGAAUGAAGGACGCUCUAGAAGUUAUUGAGGCUGUGGUCAGGGCAGCAAGCUGUGAACAGGCCCAAAAAGAAGAGAAGGAGAAAGCGGAGACACAGGGAAAAUGCAGGAGGGAAAAAGAGGAGCCGUGUGUUGAGGGGCCUGUAGUAUCAGUUUUAGAGAAACAGAGUGAAACCAUAUGUGUGAAGAAAUUUAGACGCAGAACAGUCACGCAAAACUCCAAACUGUCGUUCUGUCCGUAUGUGCGGCUUAGCAACUCAAGAGACUUUUCAU